Molecule: ribosomal RNA, 1301 nt
Filed under: Thalassiosira minuscula
Lineage: Eukaryota; Bacillariophyta; Thalassiosirophyceae; Thalassiosirales; Thalassiosiraceae
Description: partial Bacterial large subunit ribosomal RNA
Rfam family: Bacterial large subunit ribosomal RNA
Source: RNAcentral
UGGAUGAGCUGUGGGUAGGGGUGAAAGGCCAAUCAAACUCGGAGAUAGCUGGUUCUCUGCGAAAUCUAUUUAGGUAGAGCGUCAUCCGAAUACCCCCGGGGGUAGAGCACUGGAUGGGUAAUGGGGCCCCACAGGCUUACUGAUCCUAACCAAACUCCGAAUACCGGGGAGUACUAGAUGGCAGACACACGGCGAAUGCUAACGUCCGUCGUGAAGAGGGAAACAACCCUGACCUACAGCUAAGGCCCCUAAUUCAUGGCUAAGUGGGAAAGCAGGUGGGACGACCAAAACAACCAGGAGGUUGGCUUAGAAGCAGCCAUCCUUUAAAGAUAGCGUAACAGCUCACUGGUCUAAAUAAGUUGUCCUGCGGCGAAGAUGUAACGGGGCUCAAGCCAUGAGCCGAAGCUUAGGAUGCACAUAGUGCAUGGUAGCAGAGCGUAGUGUGACAUAACUCCAUGUCUCCUUACCCACUUCGGUGGGAUUGGAGACGAGGAGUUUUCUGUGAAGCCGGCGCGUGAGCGAUCCGGUGGAGAGAUCACUAGUGAGAAUGAUGACAUGAGUAGCGACAAAGAGUGUGAGAGACACUCUCGCCGAAAGUCCAAGGGUUCCUGCUUAAAGCUAAUCUGAGCAGGGUAAGCCGACCCCUAAGGCGAGGCCGAAAGGCGUAGUCGAUGGGAACCAGGUUAAUAUUCCUGGGCCGUGGAGUGGUGACGGAUCUCGAAGGUAGUUCAUCCUUAUUGGAUUGAAUGGGCUGCUUAGAGGUUCCUGGAAAUAGCCCUCCUAUAAGAUCGUACCCUAAACCGACACAGGUGGAUAGGUAGAGAAUACCAAGGCGCUUGAGAGAACUAUGUUGAAGGAACUCGGCAAAAUACCUCCGUAAGUUCGCGAGAAGGAGGCCCGGUUCCUAGGCAACUAGGGGCUGGGGGCACAAACCAGGGGGUGGCGACUGUUUAUUAAAAACACAGGGCUCUGCGAAGUCGCAAGACGACGUAUAGGGUCUGACGCCUGCCCGGUGCCUGAAGGUUAAAAGGAGGGGUGAGAGCUCUGAAUUGAAGCCCAGGUAAACGGCGGCCGUAACUAUAACGGUCCUAAGGUAGCGAAAUUCCUUGUCGGGUAAGUUCCGACCUGCACGAAUGGUGUAACCAUGGCCACGCUGUCUCCACCCGAGACUCAGUGAAAUUGAAAUCGCAGUGAAGAUGCUGUGUACCCGCACCUAGACGGAAAGACCCCGUGAACCUUUACUACAGCUUUGCACUGAACUUUGAACCUACUUGUGUAGGAUAGGUGGGAGACGUUGAAGC